AUGCAGUCGAACGGAAAGGCCUCCAGCUUGCUGGGGGUACUCGAGUGGCGAACGGGUGAGUAACACGUGGGUGAUCUGCCCUGCACUUCGGGAUAAGCCUGGGAAACUGGGUCUAAUACCGGAUAGGACCCUCCUUUAGUGUGGGGGGUGGAAAGUUUUUUCGGUGCAGGAUGAGCCCGCGGCCUAUCAGCUUGUUGGUGGGGUAAUGGCCUACCAAGGCGUCGACGGGUAGCCGGCCUGAGAGGGUGGACGGCCACAUUGGGACUGAGAUACGGCCCAGACUCCUACGGGAGGCAGCAGUGGGGAAUAUUGCACAAUGGGCGCAAGCCUGAUGCAGCGACGCCGCGUGGGGGAUGACGGCCUUCGGGUUGUAAACCUCUUUCGACAGGGACGAAGCUUUUUGUGACGGUACCUGUAUAAGAAGCACCGGCUAACUACGUGCCAGCAGCCGCGGUAAUACGUAGGGUGCGAGCGUUGUCCGGAAUUACUGGGCGUAAAGAGCUCGUAGGUGGUUUGUCGCGUCGUCUGUGAAAUUCCGGGGCUUAACUCCGGGCGUGCAGGCGAUACGGGCAAUACUUGAGUGCUGUAGGGGAGACUGGAAUUCCUGGUGUAGCGGUGAAAUGCGCAGAUAUCAGGAGGAACACCAAUGGCGAAAGCAGGUCUCUGGGCAGUAACUGACGCUGAGGAGCGAAAGCAUGGGUAGCGAACAGGAUUAGAUACCCUGGUAGUCCAUGCCGUAAACGGUGGGCGCUAGGUGUAGGGGUCUUCCACGACUUCUGUGCCGUAGCUAACGCAUUAA
This 799-nucleotide ribosomal RNA is filed under the name Corynebacterium sp. YIM 102541. Its description in RNAcentral is "bacterial SSU rRNA". It matches the Rfam family "Bacterial small subunit ribosomal RNA", at positions 55 to 863 of the family's 1533-position model. The record is from RNAcentral. Lineage: Bacteria; Bacillati; Actinomycetota; Actinomycetes; Mycobacteriales; Corynebacteriaceae.